AUUGAACGCUGGCGGCAUGCCUUACACAUGCAAGUCGAACGGCAGCGCGGGUGCUUGCACCUGGCGGCGAGUGGCGAACGGGUGAGUAAUACAUCGGAACGUGCCCUAGAGUGGGGGAUAACUAGUCGAAAGAUUAGCUAAUACCGCAUACGAUCUACGGAUGAAAGUGGGGGACCGCAAGGCCUCAUGCUCCUGGAGCGGCCGAUGUCUGAUUAGCUAGUUGGUGGGGUAAUAGCCUACCAAGGCGACGAUCAGUAGCUGGUCUGAGAGGACGACCAGCCACACUGGGACUGAGACACGGCCCAGACUCCUACGGGAGGCAGCAGUGGGGAAUUUUGGACAAUGGGGGAAACCCUGAUCCAGCAAUGCCGCGUGUGUGAAGAAGGCCUUCGGGUUGUAAAGCACUUUUGUCAGGAACGAAACGGUGAGGGUUAAUACCUCUUGCUAAUGACGGUACCUGAAGAAUAAGCACCGGCUAACUACGUGCCAGCAGCCGCGGUAAUACGUAGGGUGCAAGCGUUAAUCGGAAUUACUGGGCGUAAAGCGUGCGCAGGCGGUUGUGCAAGACAGAUGUGAAAUCCCCGGGCUCAACCUGGGAAUGGCAUUUGUGACUGCACGGCUAGAGUGUGUCAGAGGGGGGUAGAAUUCCACGUGUAGCAGUGAAAUGCGUAGAUAUGUGGAGGAAUACCGAUGGCGAAGGCAG
This 703-nucleotide ribosomal RNA is filed under the name Pseudomonadota bacterium. Its description in RNAcentral is "bacterial SSU rRNA". It matches the Rfam family "Bacterial small subunit ribosomal RNA", at positions 28 to 724 of the family's 1533-position model. The record is from RNAcentral. Lineage: Bacteria; Pseudomonadati; Pseudomonadota.